Molecule: long non-coding RNA, 645 nt
Filed under: Homo sapiens (human)
Lineage: Eukaryota; Metazoa; Chordata; Mammalia; Primates; Hominidae
Description: HSALNT0261698
Source: RNAcentral
UUACCUCCCAGUCUCAGGGUCCAAGGAGCUCCAGCCUGGUCCUUCCUCAGCACUAUUUCCUUAAAAACCGAAUGUCCUCCUGAAUUUUUGCAUCAAGCGGGUUUGUUUGACUUCCUAUUACUGUUUUCAAUGACUCCGGAUGCGCCCGAUGAACUGACUGACACGUGGAAUAACCGUGUACACAAACACGGAGUGCCUCACGGGGAAGUGACUAAGGCAGAGGAAGGCUAACGGAUUCGCUGAACUGGGAGUCCCCUGAGGCCUCGCCAACCUCCUUGCACGGGGAUACCAAUCCCUUGAAGCCCCGCCCCGCAAGCUCGCGCGGGUUUGUCCAGAGCCAAUCAGGGCCUGACCCUUCUCGCGGGAGCUGCUGGGAUGCGCAGCCGCAUAAGAGAGCGCGCGGGUCUCCAGAGCCUGAGCUAGUCAGAAGCAACAGUUGCUACUGCGUCCCCCGGACAUUGGGAGAAUCGUUUUCCUUGGGCAGCUGGUUCCAGACCCCCACCAGUCCUCUAGACUCCAGGCCAAUCAGUUGCUAAGGGACGUUCCUCUCUCAACCUGGCACUUAUCAACAUUUUAAGCUAUAAAUUCGUCUGCAUUUCUUCAUCGUCUGUCUAUGUAGACCAUGACUCCACGGAGGCAGGGUGA